RNAcentral lists this ribosomal RNA (465 nucleotides) under uncultured bacterium. Its description in RNAcentral is "partial 16S ribosomal RNA". It matches the Rfam family "Bacterial small subunit ribosomal RNA", at positions 28 to 507 of the family's 1533-position model. The record is from RNAcentral.
GAUGAACGCUGGCGGCGUGCUUAACACAUGCAAGUCGAACGGAAAGGCCCAAGCUUGCUUGGGUACUCGAGUGGCGAACGGGUGAGUAACACGUAGGUGAUCUGCCCUGCACUUCGGGAUAAGCCUGGGAAACUGGGUCUAAUACCGGAUAGGACCACAUUUUGGAUGGUGUGGUGGAAAGUUUUUCGGUGCGGGAUGAGCUCGCGGCCUAUCAGCUUGUUGGUGGGGUAAUGGCCUACCAAGGCGUCGACGGGUAGCCGGCCUGAGAGGGUGUACGGCCACAUUGGGACUGAGAUACGGCCCAGACUCCUACGGGAGGCAGCAGUGGGGAAUAUUGCACAAUGGGCGCAAGCCUGAUGCAGCGACGCCGCGUGGGGGAUGACGGCCUUCGGGUUGUAAACUCCUUUCGCUAGGGACGAAGCGCAAGUGACGGUACCUGGAGAAGAAGCACCGGCUAACUACGUG